GAUGAACGCUGGCGGCGUGCCUAAUACAUGCAAGUCGAGCGAACAGACGAGGAGCUUGCUCCUCUGACGUUAGCGGCGGACGGGUGAGUAACACGUGGAUAACCUACCUAUAAGACUGGGAUAACUUCGGGAAACCGGAGCUAAUACCGGAUAAUAUAUUGAACCGCAUGGUUCAAUAGUGAAAGACGGUUUUGCUGUCACUUAUAGAUGGAUCCGCGCCGCAUUAGCUAGUUGGUAAGGUAACGGCUUACCAAGGCAACGAUGCGUAGCCGACCUGAGAGAGUGAUCGGCCACACGGGAACUGAGACACGGUCCAGACUCCUACGGGAGGCAGCAGUAGGGAAUCUUCCGCAAUGGGCGAAAGCCUGACGGAGCAACGCCGCGUGAGUGAUGAAGGUCUUCGGAUCGUAAAACUCUGUUAUUAGGGAAGAACAAAUGUGUAAGUAACUAUGCACGUCUUGAGGGUACCUAAUCAGAGAGCCGCGGCUAACUACGUG
Molecule: ribosomal RNA, 497 nt
Filed under: uncultured bacterium
Lineage: Bacteria
Description: partial 16S ribosomal RNA
Rfam family: Bacterial small subunit ribosomal RNA
Source: RNAcentral